Long non-coding RNA from Liolophura sinensis, 618 nucleotides. RefSeq lists it as uncharacterized. Lineage: Eukaryota; Metazoa; Mollusca; Polyplacophora; Chitonida; Chitonidae. The record is from RefSeq and is a predicted model, not a curated record. The transcript has 4 exons.
CACUCUACAUAAAAGAUCGGACACCCAUCGAUGGGUUCAGUCAGAAAUCUCGGUCUGCAGGAGACUUUGCGGAAACCUCCUGAGAAACCGGUCGCCCACUGCAGCUGUUGAGCAUCAGAAUGCGAAUCGAGAGCGUGUCCUUUGUGGAAUGAAGCUGUUCUGCGCUUCACCGAGGGCAGGUUUGACGACUCCCUGUCAUGUCUGGAAAAAAUUACAGAGCCAACGGCAAAGAUUUUUUUUGACAUUGGUUGUAUACAUCUUUGUCAAGGUUCACCUAAUAAAGCGCUGGAGAGUUUUACGAAGACAGUUCAAAAGGACGAACACCUGGCGGUGGGGCAUUUUCAGCAUGGUGUGGCUGCUUUCAAAGUGAACAGGAUUUCCAGUGCUCUGGACAGUUUUCAGAAGGCCUACUUUUACCUGCGGGGUCAUGCUGUGAUAGAUUACAGACAGCUGGGAUUAAACAUAAAGCUUUAUGCCAUGCAGGUGCUGUUAAACCUGGCGUUAUGUUGGUGUAGACGAGAUAAGACAAAGGCCUUAAAAUGGCUGAAAGAUGCAGAAUCUUUAGAUGGUACCCCAGGUUUGAAGUCUGAAGUGUCCAGGGCUCUAAUGGCUGUGCAG